Leptonychotes weddellii (Weddell seal) is the source of this 500-nucleotide non-coding RNA. NCBI's taxonomy places the organism in Eukaryota, Metazoa, Chordata, Mammalia, Carnivora, Phocidae. The record is from RefSeq and is a predicted model, not a curated record.
AAGAAAUGCAUUCUGCAGCGACGCACACAGAUAUCCUACCCUGUGCUAUCCGUGUUAUCUCUCCGUUUUUUGUUGACUCAGAGCUUGGCACAGGACCUGGCUCCCAGGAAGUGUUCAUGAAGGUCUGGUGGAUGAAUCGUGGAAGCCGUGACUAGAAGAUGGAGGGAUGAACCAAUGAAGCUACAGCAGGACGGUUUUCAAAAUGGCAUUCAGUCUCAAUUCUCUUUCCGCCUUUUCUCCAUAUCGAUGUCUACAAAAAAGUUCUCUGUUGGGAAGCUCUCAAGUCAUUGUAUGGUGAAGCGAUUGAAGAAACAACUGUGUAGCCACAGCAGGUGUCAGUUCCUGGGGGCCCCUGUCACCCUGCCCGGCAGCUCCCGUUCGGCAGCAGAGGCAUUAAGAGCAGACUCCACAGAAGCCAGUACGGCCAAGCAUUUUCAAAGGCAAGGGCAGCGGCGUUUGCCCGUUUUUUCCUCUCUUUGUUCUGGUCUUUGCUUCUUCCU